AGUGAACGCUGGCGGUAGGCCUAACACAUGCAAGUCGAACGGCAGCACAGUAAGGGCUUGCUCUUACGGGUGGCGAGUGGCGGACGGGUGAGGAAUACAUCGGAAUCUACUUUUUCGUGGGGGAUAACGUAGGGAAACUUACGCUAAUACCGCAUACGACCUACGGGUGAAAGCAGGGGAUCUUCGGACCUUGCGCGAUUGAAUGAGCCGAUGUCGGAUUAGCUAGUUGGCGGGGUAAAGGCCCACCAAGGCGACGAUCCGUAGCUGGUCUGAGAGGAUGAUCAGCCACACUGGAACUGAGACACGGUCCAGACUCCUACGGGAGGCAGCAGUGGGGAAUAUUGGACAAUGGGCGCAAGCCUGAUCCAGCCAUACCGCGUGGGUGAAGAAGGCCUUCGGGUUGUAAAGCCCUUUUGCUGGGAAAGAAAAGCAGCAGGUUAAUACCCCGCUGUUCUGACGGUACCCAAAGAAUAAGCACCGGCUAACUUCGUG
Molecule: ribosomal RNA, 492 nt
Filed under: uncultured bacterium
Lineage: Bacteria
Description: partial 16S ribosomal RNA
Rfam family: Bacterial small subunit ribosomal RNA
Source: RNAcentral